CUCCAAUGUUGCAUUUCUUUUCUUCAUAAUAUUUUCAUGCAUUUCUACAAAUUUUGCCAUGGGGUGGAGAGAAGUUUUAAAGCUGAUUUCCUGUUAUUCUACACAUUUUGCCAUGUUCAUAUGAUAUCUGAGUGAGAGUACCUAACAAAAAUCAAUGGGGGCCCCCUGGAGGUCAGGGCCCCUGGACACAUGCCUUGUUUGCCUGGUCAGUAAUUACUACAAGGUGUAGAUAGCUGGCUAGACUAACUUACCAAUACAAACCCAUUUUUAGCUGACAUGAGCUACUUCAGUGACUGUCAGUGACUGACAUUACAUGAGAUACUGCUGAUGCGCUACCAUAUUUCAAAAUUGCACCUUGUGUAUUCGACUAACUCUCAGCAAAAAUGUGAAUUUGGGUUAGGGGCCCCCUAGCGUCUGGGGGCCUUAAGCGACCGCUUAUGUCACUUAUGCCCAGGACCGGCCCUGGACAAUUCAUAACAAAGUAUGAUACAUUUUUGAAGUCCUGCAACCAUCAGUAACAACUGCAUUCCUUCUCUUAUACAGAUCAGAGGUCUUUGUUUUCUGUGCUGAGCAGCACCCCAAGAUCCAAGCCCAACACCCAAGCCUUGGCAUUUGGGAUGUGGCCAAGAAGCUUGGAGAGAUGUGGAACAAUAUGACAGACUCCAAUAACCAGCCAUAUCUUGCCAAAACCAACAAACUCAAGGAAAAAUACAAUAAGGAUGUGGCAGGUUACAAAGGAGGAAAAGGAAAACUGGGCGGGGCAGGAGCCUCUAAAUUGAAGAAGGCGGAAGACGAAGACUAUGAUGAUGAGGAUGACUAAUAGAAAAGGGGAUCCACAUUUCAAGGAAUUGUAAGUUUGCGUUUGAGGGAAUUGUAUGUGUAUCUAGACACAAAAUCCAUAGACUUGAGGUAGGUGUCCAGUCUGACAAUCAGGUAUUCCGGUAACAUUGCCGUGGCCUAUUAUGCCAACCACCUGUGUGUUUGAGGCAGGACUGAUCCAUUUCAAUGUGUUGUGGCUGAAAGGAAUGAUGAUGAAAUGGGUUCUAUGUUUUCAUUGUUCUGUUGUUAAUUUGGAUAAGUGGAAUGACAUUUUAGAUCUUAACAUUUCUCCAUCUCUUGACCAGUGGUGACAAUACAUCUGUUGGACAAGGAGUUUUUCUUUGCACCUGCACAAUGUGUUUUGUAUGUCUCUGAUCUAAAUAAUAACGUUUUUUACGUUCUGUGUGGACCAAAUAGAUUUAUUCCCUCUAUGGAAAUGACUGAUUUUGUAUUUUUUGUGGUCUUUUUCUUUAGCGGUAAAUGUCAUAAACAUUAUGCUAUUUUGAUUUUACAUUGGAACAUUUAGCAGAUGCUCUUAUCCAUAGCAACUUGCACUACUGUUGUGACAGGCAUUCAUAUUUUAGUAGCAACGUUAAAACUCAUUAUUACACUUAAUAGGAACAUGUCACAAUUCUGAGAAUGUAAGAAUUUAGCUGCUUACAAUUUCUUAAAGAUAAGAAUACUUCUAUGCUUUGGGCCCUGAAAGUGCUCCCUGGAAAGCCACUAUCCUCAAUUGAAUCCUGGAUUUAAUCUUCAAGGUUAAUAAUACAUUUUUUAAAUAGCUCCUCUCAUUGAGUUUUGAGAAUAUAAUCUGCAAACCACCUUUCCCCAC
Molecule: long non-coding RNA, 1651 nt
Organism: Oncorhynchus kisutch (coho salmon)
Lineage: Eukaryota; Metazoa; Chordata; Actinopteri; Salmoniformes; Salmonidae
Source: Ensembl